CCUACGGGAGGCAGCAGUGAGGAAUAUUGGUCAAUGGCCGGAAGGCUGAACCAGCCAAGCCGCGUGAAGGACGAAGGUGCCAAGCAUUGUAAACUUCUUUUGUCAAGGGACAAAAUCAGGCUCGAGAACCUGACCGAAGGUACUUGAAGAAAAAGCAUCGGCUAACUCCGUGCCAGUAGCCGCGGUACUACGGAGGAUGCGAGCGUUAUCCGGAUUUAUUGUGUUUAAAGGGUGCGUAGGCGGGCUGUUAAGUCAGCGGUAAACGCCCGGGGCGCAAGCCCGGCGAGACGUUGAAAAUGGUUGUCUUGAGAUGGCGAGAGGUAUGCGGAAUGCGCAGUGUAGCGGUGAAAUGCUUAGAUAUUGCGCAGAACUCCGAUUGCGAAGGCAGCAUACCGGCGGCGAUCUGACGCUGAGGCACGAAAGCGUGGGUAUCGAACAGGAUUAGAUACCCCAGUAGUC
Molecule: ribosomal RNA, 459 nt
Filed under: uncultured bacterium
Lineage: Bacteria
Description: partial 16S ribosomal RNA
Rfam family: Bacterial small subunit ribosomal RNA
Source: RNAcentral